AACCUGGUUGAUCCUGCCAGUCGUCAUAUGCUUGUUUCAAGGAUUAAGCCAUGCAAGUGUCAGAGUAACUGGAUUAAGAAGAGGUCUGCGUACGGCUCAUUACAUCAUCAAUUAUCUACCCAGCGUAGUACCUGUUUCAGGUGCCAAUUGGAUAACUUCGGUAACUCCGAAGCUAAUACACGUAUGAAAAAGCUUGCCCCCGUUCAAGCCCGAAGGGGAAACCUGACGGGUGGGGGUGGGUUGCAGUUGGCCGAUACGAGAACCAACGAUCGUUGAGAUCAGCACUAACUGUUGAGGCAGGCCAAUAUUGCGAAAGCGCACAUCUUCGGAUGGCGCGAUGCUGGACGAAUUUAUGCCCUAUCAGCUUUAGAUGGUAGGGUAGUGGCCUACCAUGGCUUUGACGGGUAACGGAGAAUUGGGGUUCGAUUCCGGAGAGGGUGCCUGAGAGAUGGCAACCAUACCUAAGGGAAGCAGCAGGCGCGCAAAUUACCCAAUGCCAACACUGGUGAGGUAGCGACGAAAAAUAACAACUCUGCUGCACACACGUGUAGUGGAGAUUGUAAUGGAUUGUAUCCAAAACCACUGCUGAGUAUCAAUUGGAGGGCAAGCCCGGUGCCAGCAGCCGCGGUAAUUCCGGCUCCAAUAGCGUAUAUUAAUGUUGUUGCGGUUAAAAAGCUCGUAGUUGGAUUCAGGCUUUAUGGUUGUGGCGAGCCUUUCAGUUCGGUUGCCACGCAGGUUCUUCCUGUCGUGUGUCAGCCGUCUGUUUGGGUCAACUCGUCACACUAGACCAUGACCCUUUGUACGUGGUAAAGUUUGGACUGUUGAAGGCCUCUUCAUUGAGGCUGGAUUCACCUUCGCAGUAAACACACUGCUUACGUCCCGACCACGGAUGUUACUGUGAGUAAAUCAGAUUGUUCAAAGAAACCGACUCGUUCGGUCUGAAUGUUUCAGCAUGGAAUAACAAGGGAUCGACCACUGUUGGCCUCUUUUGUUGGUUUUCAUGCCAUAGUGCGGCAACUCGGGACAGGAUUCUCGACGUAGCUGCUUCAUUCCUUUGGUUUGUAGCACUACUAAGAGGCCUGUUACGUUCGGGAUCAAUAGAGGCAGUUGGGGUGGUCCGUACUUGGUGGUGAGAGGUGAAAUUCUUAGACCCACCAAAGACGAACAUCAGCGAAGGCAGUCUACCAAUCUGCUUUCAUUAAUCAAGAACGAGAGUAAGGGGAUCGAAGAUGAUCAGAUACCGUCGUAGUCCUUUACCGUAAAUUAUGCGGACUUGGGAUCGGUCACUGCUCUCUUAGUGACUUGAUCGGCACCUCCCCCUUUAUCGAGAAAUCAAAGUUUUUGCGUUCCGGGGGGAGUACAUUCGCAAGGCUGAAACUUAAAGGAAUUGACGGAAUGACACCACCAGACGUGGAGUGUGUGGCUUAAUUUGACUCAACACGGGAAAUUUUACCAGGUCAGGACAUGGCUAGGAUUGCCAGAUUGAGAGCUCUUGCAUGAUUCCAUGGAGGGUGGUGCAUGGCCGUUCUUGGUUGGUGGAGUGAUUUGUCUGCUUAAUUGCGUUAACGAACGAGAUCUCUGCUAAUAAAUAGAUGCUCCUUUCGCUUGUAAGUUUGAAUCAAGUUCGGGGCCUUCGGGUUUUUGCACUUGAUUCGGCUGCAAGGGAGAAGUUUA
RNAcentral lists this ribosomal RNA (1674 nucleotides) under Sphenomonas angusta. RNAcentral describes it as "SSU rRNA". It matches the Rfam family "Eukaryotic small subunit ribosomal RNA", at positions 1 to 1404 of the family's 1831-position model. Lineage: Eukaryota; Euglenozoa; Stavomonadea; Petalomonadida; Sphenomonadidae. The record is from RNAcentral.